RNAcentral lists this ribosomal RNA (449 nucleotides) under uncultured bacterium. Its description in RNAcentral is "partial 16S ribosomal RNA". It matches the Rfam family "Bacterial small subunit ribosomal RNA", at positions 29 to 523 of the family's 1533-position model. The record is from RNAcentral.
AACGAACGCUGGCGGCAUGCCUAACACAUGCAAGUCGAACGAGAUCUUCGGGUCUAGUGGCGCACGGGUGCGUAACGCGUGGGAAUCUGCCCUUUGGUUCGGAGUAACAGUUGGAAACGACUGCUAAUACCGGAUGAUGACGAAAGUCCAAAGAUUUAUCGCCAGAGGAUGAGCCCGCGUAGGAUUAGCUAGUUGGUGUGGUAAAGGCGCACCAAGGCGACGAUCCUUAGCUGGUCUGAGAGGAUGAUCAGCCACACUGGGACUGAGACACGGCGCAGACUCCUUCGGGAGGCAGCAGUGGGGAAUAUUGGACAAUGGGCGAAAGCCUGAUCCAGCAAUGCAGCGUGAGUGAUGAAGGCCUUAGGGUUGUAAAGCUCUUUUACCCGGGAUGAUAAUGACAGUACCGGGAGAAUAAGCUCCGGCUAACUCCGUGCCAGCCGCCGCCGUAA